RNAcentral lists this unclassified non-coding RNA (253 nucleotides) under uncultured Caryophanaceae bacterium. RNAcentral describes it as "uncultured Planococcaceae bacterium contains 16S-23S intergenic spacer region". It matches the Rfam family "Bacterial small subunit ribosomal RNA", at positions 524 to 776 of the family's 1533-position model. The record is from RNAcentral. Lineage: Bacteria; Bacillati; Bacillota; Bacilli; Caryophanales; Caryophanaceae.
UACAGAGGUCCCAAGCGUUGUUCGGAAUUAUUGGGCGUAAAGCGCGCGCAGGCGGUCCCUUAAGUCUGAUGUGAAAGCCCACGGCUCAACCGUGGAGGGUCAUUGGAAACUGGGGGACUUGAGUGCAGAAGAGGAAAGUGGAAUUCCAUGUGUAGCGGUGAAAUGCGUAGAGAUGUGGAGGAACACCAGUGGCGAAGGCGACUUUCUGGUCUGUAACUGACGCUCAGGCACGAAAGCGUGGGUAGCAAACAGG